CCUACGGGAGGCAGCAGUGGGGAAUAUUGGGCAAUGGGCGCAAGCCUGACCCAGCAAAGCCGCGUGAAGGAAGAAGGCUUUCGGGUUGUAAACUUCUUUUCUGAGGGACGAAGAAAGUGACGGUACCUCCCGAAUAAGCCACGGCUAACUACGUGCCAGCAGCCGCUGUAAUACGUAGGUGGCGAGCGUUAUCCGGAUUUCUUGGGUGUAAAGGGCGUGUAGGCGGGAAAGCAAGUCAGAUGUGAAAACUCAGGGCUCAACCCUGGGCCUGCAUUUGAAACUGUUUUUCUUGAGUGCUGGAGAGGCAAGCGGAAUUCGGGGUGUAGCGGUGAAAUGCGUAGAUAUACGGAGGAACACCAGUGGUGAAGGCGGAUUGCUGGACAGUAACUGACGCUGAGGCGCGAAAGCGUGGGGAGCGAACAGGAUUAGAUACCCCAGUAGUC
Molecule: ribosomal RNA, 443 nt
Filed under: uncultured bacterium
Lineage: Bacteria
Description: partial 16S ribosomal RNA
Rfam family: Bacterial small subunit ribosomal RNA
Source: RNAcentral